AUUGUCUCGCAGCUGCUUCAAC
RNAcentral lists this microRNA (22 nucleotides) under Caenorhabditis briggsae. RNAcentral describes it as "Cbr-Let-7-P7_3p* (star (passenger))". Lineage: Eukaryota; Metazoa; Nematoda; Chromadorea; Rhabditida; Rhabditidae. The record is from RNAcentral.